UACGGAAGGCAGCAGGGGGAAUAUUGCACAAUGGGCGCAAGCCUGAUGCAGCCAUGCCGCGUGUAUGAAGAAGGCCUUCGGGUUGUAAAGUACUUUCAGUCGUGAGGAAGGUGUUAAGGUUAAUAACCUUAGCAAUUGACGUUAGCGACAGAAGAAGCACCGGCUAACUCCGUGCCAGCAGCCGCGGUAAUACGGAGGGUGCGAGCGUUAAUCGGAAUUACUGGGCGUAAAGGGCACGCAGGCGGUUAAUUAAGUUGGAUGUGAAAUCCCCGGGCUUAACCUGGGAAUGGCAUUCAAGACUGGUUAGCUAGAGUCCUGUAGAGGGGGUAGAAUUCCAUGUGUAGCGGUGAAAUGCGUAGAGAUGUGGAGGAAUACCGGUGGCGAAGGCGGCCCCUGGACAAAGACUGACGCUCAUGUGCGAAAGCGUGGGGAGCGAAACAGGGAUUAGAUACC
This 453-nucleotide ribosomal RNA is filed under the name uncultured bacterium. RNAcentral's name for it is "bacterial SSU rRNA". It matches the Rfam family "Bacterial small subunit ribosomal RNA", at positions 340 to 786 of the family's 1533-position model. The record is from RNAcentral.